This 253-nucleotide ribosomal RNA is filed under the name uncultured bacterium. Its description in RNAcentral is "partial 16S ribosomal RNA". It matches the Rfam family "Bacterial small subunit ribosomal RNA", at positions 524 to 776 of the family's 1533-position model. The record is from RNAcentral.
UACGUAGGGUGCAAGCGUUAAUCGGAAUUACUGGGCGUAAAGCGUGCGCAGGCGGUUUUGUAAGUUUGUCGUGAAAGCCCCGGGCUCAACCUGGGAAUUGCGAUGAAGACUGCAAGGCUUGAAUCUGGCAGAGGGGGGUAGAAUUCCACGUGUAGCAGUGAAAUGCGUAGAGAUGUGGAGGAACACCGAUGGCGAAGGCAGCCCUCUGGGCCGUAACUGACGCUGAGGAGCGAAAGCAUGGGGAGCGAACAGG